This 1200-nucleotide long non-coding RNA is filed under the name Sarcophilus harrisii (Tasmanian devil). RNAcentral's name for it is "lncRNA (ENSSHAG00000032337.1)". The record is from RNAcentral. Lineage: Eukaryota; Metazoa; Chordata; Mammalia; Dasyuromorphia; Dasyuridae.
AUGUUUCUCUAUCUCCCUGCGACUGUCCCUAUGUCUCUGGGUCUCUAUCUUUCUCUGUCUCUGUUUCUGUCCGUCUCCGUGUCUUUCUGUUGUUUAUCUCUUCUCCGUUCAUCUCUCAGUCCCCUUCACAUUCUCGUUGUCUCUCAGCUUUUCCAUCUCCCUUUCUGUCUGUUUCUCUCUUCUGUCUCUGUGUCUCCAUGUUUGUCUUUGUCUCUGUCUUUGCCUCUCUUUCUCUGCGUCUCUAUCUCCAUCCUAUCUCUGUCUCUGUUUCUGUCCGUCUCCGUGUCUUUCUGUUGUUUAUCUCUUCUCCGUUCAUCUCUCAGUCCCCUUCACAUUCUCGUUGUCUCUCAGCUUUUCCAUCUCCCUUUCUGUCUGUUUCUCUCUUCUGUCUCUGUGUCUCCAUGUUUGUCUUUGUCUCUGUCUUUGCCUCUCUUUCUCUGCGUCUCUAUCUUUCUCUGUCUCUGUUUCUGUCCGUCUCCGUGUCUUUCUGUUGUUUAUCUCUUCUCCGUUCAUCUCUCCGUCUCCUUUUCUGUCUCCUUCACAUUCUCGUUGUCUCUCAGCUUUUCCAUCUCCCUUUCUGUCUGUUUCUCUCUUCUGUCUCUGUGUCUCCAUGUUUGUCUUUGUCUCUGUCUUUGCCUCUCUUUCUCUGCGUCUCUAUCUUUCUCUGUCUCUGUUUCUCUCUGUCUCCCUGUCUUUCUGUUUUUUAUCUCUUCUCCGUUCAUCUCUCAGUCUCCUUUUCUGUCUCCUUCACAUUCUCGUUGUCUCUCAGCUUUUCUAUCUCCCUUUUUGUCUUUCUCUCUUCUGUCUCUGUGUCUCCAUGUUUGUCUUUGUCUCUGUCUUUGCCUCUCUUUCUCUGCGUCUCUAUCUUUCUCUGUCUCUGUUUCUGUCCGUCUCCGUGUCUUUCUGUUUUUUAUCUCUUUUCCAUUCAUCUCUCAGUCCCCUUCACAUUCUCGUUGUCUCUCAGCUUUUCUAUCUCCCUUUUUGUCUGUUUCUCUCUUCUGUCUCUGUGUCUCCAUAUUUGUCUUUGUUUCUAUCUUUGCCUCUCUUUCUCUGGGUCUCUAUCUUUCUUUGCCUCCCUGUUUCGCUCACUGUCUUUCUUACAUUCUCUUUGUGUAUCUCUUUGUCUUUCAUUUUCCCUCCCUCUCUUUUCUUCUCUCUUUCACAUUCUCUGUGGGUCUCUUUCUCUCCGAGUCCUUUUAG